Molecule: ribosomal RNA, 245 nt
Filed under: uncultured bacterium
Lineage: Bacteria
Description: partial small subunit ribosomal RNA
Rfam family: Bacterial small subunit ribosomal RNA
Source: RNAcentral
AGAAUCAACGCUGGCGGCGUGCCUAACACAUGCAAGUCGAACGAGAAAGUGGAGCAAUCCAUGAGUACAGUGGCGCACGGGUGAGUAACACGUGACUAACCUACCCUCGAGUGGGGGAUAACCUCGGGAAACCGGGGCUAAUACCGCAUAACAUCUACGGAUCAAAUGCGUAAGCAGCUUGAGGAGGGGGUCGCGGCUGAUUAGCUAGUUGGCGGGGUAAUGGCCCACCAAGGCAGUGAUCAGUA